UGUGAGGAUGCCCUUAAUCCCCUGCCCGGGGACGAGGAGCCGGCAUCAGGCACGCCCAAGCAGCCCAAGACGCCUUGCUAAGCCACACCCCCAAGGAAACCCAGCAGUGAUAAAUAUUAAGCCAUAAGCGAAAGCUUGACUUAGUUAAAGUUAAGAGGGCCGGUAAAACUCGUGCCAGCCACCGCGGUUAUACGAGAGGCCCUAGUUGAUAACUACCGGCGUAAAGAGUGGUUACGGAAAAAUAUUUAAUAAAGCCGAACACCCCCUCAGCCGUCAUACGCACCUGGGGGCACGAAGAUCUACUACGAAAGCAGCUUUAAUUAUACCUGAACCCACGACAGCUACGACACAAACUGGGAUUAGAUACCCCACUAUGCCUAGCCGUAAACUUUGAUGGAAACAUACAACUGACAUCCGCCAGGGGACUAUAAGCGCCAGCUUAAAACCCAAAGGACUUGGCGGUGCCUCAGACCCACCUAGAGGAGCCUGUUCUAGAACCGAUAACCCCCGUUCAACCUCACCACCUCUUGUUUUCCCCGCCUAUAUACCACCGUCGUCAGCUUACCCUGUGAAGGCCUUAUAGUAAGCAAAAUGGGCAAAACCCAAAACGUCAGGUCGAGGUGUAGCGCAUGGGGUGGGAAGAAAUGGGCUACAUUCUCUAAAUUAGAGCACU
RNAcentral lists this ribosomal RNA (673 nucleotides) under Salmo salar (Atlantic salmon). RNAcentral's name for it is "partial 12S ribosomal RNA". It matches the Rfam family "Bacterial small subunit ribosomal RNA", at positions 202 to 1248 of the family's 1533-position model. The record is from RNAcentral. Lineage: Eukaryota; Metazoa; Chordata; Actinopteri; Salmoniformes; Salmonidae.